Long non-coding RNA from Oxyura jamaicensis (ruddy duck), 4483 nucleotides. RefSeq lists it as uncharacterized. The transcript is spliced from 3 exons. Lineage: Eukaryota; Metazoa; Chordata; Aves; Anseriformes; Anatidae. The record is from RefSeq and is a predicted model, not a curated record.
AAAUUCACAGUUAAAUCAUAUCAAAUGUCUCAUUCUGUUGCAAUCAAAAGAAGCAUUUUUAUAAAAUUCAGUUGAGCAAUAUUAAUCAAUUCUACAUAAAUCAGGUUUCAACAACAGAAAAAUUUACUUCUACCCUAAAAUCUCUUAAAUGCUAAUUUUAUGCAUGUCAAAGAAUUUCUGAUGACAAUAUGUUACCUUUAUCUUUUAAUAUUUUCAUACUGAAUUCCUAAAAACGACAGGAUUGCAUGCAAGGUUAAUAUGCAUGUCCUUAUAUAAAUGUGUUUCUAUAUCCCCUAAAUACGUAUGUACAUACAGAUGCAGAUGCACAACAUACAGAUACCUAUUUGUGAUCACUUUCCCUUUGACUGCAGCGUUGUCCUUUGUAAUUCAUUUGCCCUACAGCAUCAGUUGUUCAAAUGUUUUCUAGGAAUUGCAUGUCUCUAUGCAGAUCAUGAUAGCAGCUAGAAGUUGUUUGCAAGGCCAGGCUUCACUUGCAUGUCUUAUUUUUGUAAAUAUUUUUUGUUGAUGUAGUGGAUGGAGGCUUAUUAAAAAUCCAUGUUCUUAGAAGUCCUCAGAUCCUGUCCUCAGAGGUGAUGUGCUAUAACUGAACAGAAGAUUGGUUUGCGAGUUUUGAUUUGGUGAUUUGAUGAGAUAAAGAGGCAAGGAAUAAACAGUUAAAAAAUAAAAAUAAUAAUAAAAAGGAAUUCUCCACCAAAGUAUCUCUUAGAAGGCUCAUGCUUUCACAAGUAUUAGACAAACUACCAGAUAACUCAAGUGAUUUAUGACUUAAUAGUGCUGAAAAGUCACCAGUGGAAAAGAAAAAAAAUAUUUCUCAAAUGUAAAACCCUUAGUAAUUUCCUUAAUUUUCAUUUUUAUGGAAAUAAUAAUAUAGAGAAGGCAAAGUUAUGGCUAGUUAUUAAAGUGUCAUCUGAUUACAUCACCAAUUUAUAAAGACGUUUUAAAAAAUAAAGCUUCAAGUCUGGUCUACAUAUAAAAUAAGAUAUGACAACAGUCUUCACAGGAGCAAAAAGAUCCUAGCUAUGUGUUUUGCCUUGAAGAAAUGAGUCAAGUACCCCUACCAGCUCAGAGAACAGCUGUGACAGUAGCACUUUGCAUUUCUACAGUCCUUUUCACCUCACAGUUUAAAAAAAUAAAAAAAUAAAAAAAAUAAAAAGAUGCUUAAUGUAACUGAUUCAAUGCAACAUCUCUGUCUAUGUCUGAAGAAAAUUUUGCUUAUUCCUUAGAAAAUUUAAAUUCCUUUGGUUUUGGGAACCCAACUUAAACUGGACCAGACUGUAUGUUUAAAGGUGCUGGAGUCCCCUGACCAGGAUGAGUCCCAGCUCACUGCAACAGCAGCAUCAAGUUUCUCCUGAAAGAAGGCUGAGGAGGGUGAAGGAAGGGGAGAAAUGAGUAGGCUGAGGAAGCAGGAGCGCAGAGCAUGGAGGACAGGGCUCAGACACCUCCUUGCUUUUAGCCCCUGGUCUUUCCUGAGGCUUAUUCCCAGGAAGGGACACUGACCCACUGCUGGGGACAGGUGAGAUGGCCUGACACCCUGCUGCUGCACCUCGCCAGGGAGAGCCCCGGCUCAUAAUUUAAGGCGGAUCAAUUCUACAGCUGACAUGAUAGAUGCUGUCAUCAAUAUUCGGAAACAGCAAUUUAUAUUUCUUCGUUCAGGGACACGGCCAUCGACGCACCUCGGUGGGGGUCCUACAUGCGAGUCGGGAGCAGGAUGUGGCCGGCAGACGGAGACUUGACUGAGACUUCCAGCCACGCAACUUAUUAAAAUAAUAAAUAUUUUCAUUAUCCACGGAAUCCAUUAUACUUCUCCGUUUUAGCAAUAGUUAACUAAUAAUUUGGAUUAAUUACCAAGCUAAAUCAUUAAAAAUUAAAUCCAUAUAUUUCGUUUCUUUAAAAGAGUGAUAGUUUGCAACCAUUUGUGUAUUACGCAUGUUAAGUGGGAGGGUGAUGAAAUAUGUUGUGUUAACUGAGCUUUGACAGCAUCUGUAUCCAUGCCACAUUAUGCUCUGGUCUUAUCAAAUCUCAGAAGCUACUGUGUAUAAAUAGACUGUGAUGAUAUUUGCGGGAGAGAAAUCAUUCACAAUAAUUUUUUGGCAUCUUCUGUAGUGACUAGAGAAGAACCGUCUAACGAAUAUAGCAUAUAAUAAUGCAAUAAAGGGGUAUAUAAGAGCCCGGGAUGAGGAGCACUUGUACUGAAUCAGAGUUAUGGUUCAGCACACGCUACCUAUCAGACAUAAACACAACUUUCAUCCUAAGGAAUUUCAGAGCAGAUUGCAAGUUGAAACGAAUAGGGAAACCCAAUUCAGAGGUCAUUUUGCUCUCUGCUGAAGCAACGAUUGGCACUGUGAUGGAACUUCGCAGUUACUUAAUGAAACAUUAUCGGCUUGAAGAUAUAUAGGUACGGGGGGAAGUAAUGCUGUCCAGUGAGUAAAAUUAUUUAUGAAUGUGCAUUUUAUUAUGUUUGGAAUACUCAACUACGGGCUGUGCAGCUGCACAGACUGCAUGGUACUGAGCUCAAUACAGGAAAAAAAACUGUGAAACUGGAUCGGCUGUGAUAUACAGCUGGCUGGACUAGAUAAUCCAGUGGUUUUACCUUGCUGUAAACUCUACGAGGUUAUGAAAGGAACUACGUUUAAAACUCCAUUAUGCUUAAGCCUGUAAGUAUCUAAUUAAAGUGGGGUGCUGUACUGAAAUUUAAAUAGCAACCCUCUUGUUAUAAAACAUAUGCAAUGGACUACUUAAGAGCCCACUGGACAAACAAAACACGUCCUAAAGCUCCGGGGGACUGAUUCUGCAGCACCUACUCUAAUUUAGGAGCACUUGUCCCUGAGGUGCCGAUACUGCUCGGCGUGGUGACGAGUUGCAGGAGCAAGACUAAAUAAUGCUUCCUGCCUUCUCCAUGCUUUGGAAGAGAUUUGUGUCUGGGCUUUAUGUAAACACCCACCGAGGAACUGUAUAUGUCAUGUCCCAGCUUACACAGGAGCCUGGAGCAGUUGCUGGAGCUCUCUGUGAAGACUGACUUGCAAAGAGAUGUGCAUUGCACCCUGAAAAAAGUGUACCUGUGCUCGGUGGCCUUCCCUCCGAGCAGGGUAGCAAUCUGCCCUCCGGGGGAAAUGCCGAUGGAUUAGUUUUUUUGGGCAAGAGCACCUCUGCGUUGGCGUGGCACAUGUGGGGUAACGAAGGAGAGAAUCACAUCCUUGAAACACACUGUACCAAUGCUGAGGAAUUUCCUUUGCUACUCACCAGAAACGUAUUUAAACUGCUUAUUUCUGUAUCUCACAGUACCUCUGGAACUCCUUUCCUGGUCUGCGAAAGCGUUCGGCUAAGGUCCUGUGAAUUCCCUGGGAAUUAAUACAUUGCUCACCGGGUAAACACUGUUUUAAAGGUAGGUUAUGCUGAAGAGAUACUAGAGAGAGAUUUUUCACACAGGAUGUGAAGAAUGUAGUAUUUCUCACCUCCCCCUUAUUUUAUGUUGCAUUAAAAUUAUCUUUACUCUUCCUCCGGCAGUUGCUAUGCCGCACUCAAGACAGAGAGUCUGGGAAGUGGGAAAUGUCAACUUUUAAGAUGAUGUUCAGCUUUCUUGUUACACGCAUUCUUUAUGUAAUGGGUUUGAAUUACGUGUUGUUCACAGGCUUUCAGCUCUUCUUAGAAAGUUAGCUUGACUGGGCACAGUUGCUAGCUUAUUGUUAAUAAAGAGUUGAUGACACAGGAAGGAGCCCAAAUAGGGGCCGAGUAAUUUCUAGGUGAAUCUUUAAAUAUAUACAUAUAGUGAGCAGGAUUGGAUGGCACAUAGUUUAUUUGUAUUUUUUGCAACACCAUGCUUCCCUAGAGAGGCAGGCUUCACUCUCUGCAAGAGCUGCAAACCUCGUUGCCAAGUCCCAUAGCAAGGGGUGACCGAGGGGGAUCGGUGACUGCAGGAAAGCCAUGGGUUGCAACAGGCAGCAUAAAAUGUGUUCCUUCAGUCAGGGGCCUGAGCUCCUUCCAAAUCUGUGCUCAUUUAUUGCAGGUUACGGUUAGGAUCAUGCUAUGCUUUGUCAUAUAUAGGACACACAUCAUGGAGAAAGAAAAAUCAGGGCUGGAAGGGUAACCUGCUGGUGUGGGGUCAUAUACAAGGAGCUUCAAAAAUGCCAUCAAGGCCAGCACUUGGCUGCUAAGUUGAGAUUUUCAAGUGACAUUAAUUUCAAUGCAGUUAGUCUUGAUGUACUCUGCUCUGCCUGAGAAUCGUAGCUGAUGGGAAAGAUAACACAGCAAUAAAAAUAUACAUGCAAGAAAUGUAAAAGAAAAAAAAAUCUCAUGUAUUAAAACAUAUUAAAAACAUAAAACAUGCCGCCUAUGUUGCCAUCAUUAUAUAUUACCGUCUGAAAUUUAAUUCACUCAGUGCUGCUCACGCUGUUUGUUUACUUUUUUCUGUUGAUCUUGGUUUGGGUGAUGCAUUUAGCCUACAGAAUUUCACUUCCAACUUUCC